GCAUAUCAAUAAGCGGAGGAAAAGAAACCAACAGGGAUUGCCCUAGUAACGGCGAGUGAAGCGGCAACAGCUCAAAUUUGAAAUCUGGCUCUCUUUGGGGGUCCGAGUUGUAAUUUGCAGAGGAUGCUUUGGUAUUGUCGGCGGUCUAAGUUCCUUGGAACAGGACAUCACAGAGGGUGAGAAUCCCGUACGUGGUCGCCUGCCUUUACCGUGUAAAGCUCCUUCGACGAGUCGAGUUGUUUGGGAAUGCAGCUCUAAAUGGGAGGUAAAUUUCUUCUAAAGCUAAAUACCGGCCAGAGACCGAUAGCGCACAAGUAGAGUGAUCGAAAGAUGAAAAGUACUUUGGAAAGAGAGUCAAAAAGCACGUGAAAUUGUUGAAAGGGAAGCGCUUGCAGCCAGACUUGCCCGCAGUUGCUCACCUAGGCUUUUGCCUGGGGCAUUCUUCUGCGGGCAGGCCAGCAUCAGUUUGGGCGGUUGGAUAAAGGCCUCUGUCACGUAUCUCCCUUCGGGGUGACCUUAUAGGGGAGGCGUAAUGCAACCAGCCCGGACUGAGGUCCGCGCAUCUGCUAGGAUGCUGGCGUAAUGGCUGUAAGCGGCCCGUCUUGAAACACGGACCAAGGAGUCUAACAUCUAUGCGAGUGUUUGGGUGUCAAGCCCGAGCGCGUAAUGAAAGUGAACGGAGGUGGGAACCUUUUAGGUGCACCAUCGACCGAUCCUGAUGUCUUCGGAUGGAUUUGAGUAAGAGCAUAGCUGUUGGGACCCGAAAGAUGGUGAACUAUGCUUGAAUAGGGUGAAGCCAGAGGAAACUCUGGUGGAGGCUCGCAGCGGUUCUGACGUGCAAAUCGAUCGUCAAAUUUGGGCAUAGGGGCGAAAGACUAAUCGAACCAUCUAGUAGCUGGUUCCUGCCGA
RNAcentral lists this ribosomal RNA (909 nucleotides) under Paraphaeosphaeria arecacearum. RNAcentral describes it as "eukaryotic LSU rRNA". It matches the Rfam family "Eukaryotic large subunit ribosomal RNA", at positions 38 to 964 of the family's 3401-position model. Lineage: Eukaryota; Fungi; Ascomycota; Dothideomycetes; Pleosporales; Didymosphaeriaceae. The record is from RNAcentral.